ACCAGACUCCUACGGGAGGCAGCAGUGGGGAAUAUUGCACAAUGGGGGAAACCCUGAUGCAGCGACGCCGCGUGAGUGAAGAAGUAUUUCGGUAUGUAAAGCUCUAUCAGCAGGAAAGAAAAUGACGGUACCUGACUAAGAGGCCCCGGCUAACUACGUGCCAGCAGCCGCGGUAAUACGUAGGGGGCAAGCGUUAUCCGGAUUUACUGGGUGUAAAGGGAGCGUAGACGGUGAAGCAAGUCUGAAGUGAAAGGCGGGGGCUCAACCCCCGGACUGCUUUGGAAACUGUUUGACUGGAGUGCAGGAGAGGUAAGUGGAAUUCCUAGUGUAGCGGUGAAAUGCGUAGAUAUUAGGAGGAACACCAGUGGCGAAGGCGGCUUACUGGACUGUAACUGACGUUGAGGCUCGAAAGCGUGGGGAGCAAA
RNAcentral lists this ribosomal RNA (425 nucleotides) under uncultured bacterium. RNAcentral's name for it is "bacterial SSU rRNA". It matches the Rfam family "Bacterial small subunit ribosomal RNA", at positions 330 to 772 of the family's 1533-position model. The record is from RNAcentral.